Molecule: ribosomal RNA, 481 nt
Filed under: uncultured bacterium
Lineage: Bacteria
Description: bacterial SSU rRNA
Rfam family: Bacterial small subunit ribosomal RNA
Source: RNAcentral
AAAUGAAUAGACGGGCACUCGCACAAGCAGAGGAGCGCGUGGUUUAAUUCGACGGCAAUCGAAGAACCUUACCAGGGUUUGAAAUGUAUCUGCAUGCCUUAUGAAAAUUUGGCAGCCUUCGAGGGUGAUACACAGGUGCUGCAUGGCCGUCGUCAGCUCGUGUCGUGAGAUGUAGGGUUAAGUCCCGAAACGAGCGCAACCCCUAUUCUAUGUUACAAGUGUCUUAGAAAACCGCUUCGGUAAAACGAGGAGGAAGGUGGGGAUGACGUCUGGUCCGCAUAGCCCUUAUGUCCUGGGCUACACACGCGCUACAAUGGCUAAUAUAAUGGGAAGCCAAACCGUAAGGUGGAGCUGAUCCUCAAAAUUAGUCUCAGUUCGGAUUGAGGUCUGCAACUCGACCUCAUGAAGGUGGAUUUGCUAGUAAUCGUGAAUCAGCCAUGUCACGGUGAAUACGUUCUCGAGUGUUGCACACACCGCCCGU